GGGGGGGGGGGGGGGGGGGGGGGGGGGGGGGAGGGGGGGCGGGGGGGGCGGGUCGGGUGGGGCGGGGGGGCGGGGCGCGGGGGAACCUGCCCUUAGGGUCGGAAGACCUCCCCGGAGGGGGUGCUAAUACCGGAUAAUGUCUGCGGACCAAGGAUUUAUCGCCUUUGGAUGGGCCCGCGUUGGAUUAGCUAGUUGGUAGGGUAAAAGCCUACCAAGGCGACGAUCCAUAGCUGGUCGGAGAGGAUGAUCAGCCACACUGGGACUGAGACACGGCCCAGACUCCUACGGGAGGCAGCAGUGGGGAAUAUUGGACAAUGGGCGAAAGCCUGAUCCAGCAAUGCCGCGUGAGUGAUGAAGGCCUUAGGGUUGUAAAGCUCUUUUACCCGGGAUGAUAAUGACAGUACCGGGAGAAUAAGCGCCGGCUAACUCCGUG
Molecule: ribosomal RNA, 433 nt
Filed under: uncultured bacterium
Lineage: Bacteria
Description: partial 16S ribosomal RNA
Rfam family: Bacterial small subunit ribosomal RNA (bases 45-433)
Source: RNAcentral